GAUACUGGCGGACGGGUGAGUAACACGUGGGUAACCUGCCUGUAAGACUGGGAUAACUCCGGGAACCGGGGCUAAUACCGGAUGCUUGUUGAACCGCAUGGUUCAAACAUAAAAGGUGGCUUCGGCUACCACUUACAGAUGGACCCGCGGCGCAUUAGCUAGUUGGUGAGGUAAUGGCUCACCAAGGCAACGAUGCGUAGCCGACCUGAGAGGGUGAUCGGCCACACUGGGACUGAGACACGGCCCAGACUCCUACGGGAGGCAGCAGUAGGGAAUCUUCCGCAAUGGACGAAAGUCUGACGGAGCAACGCCGCGUGAGUGAUGAAGGUUUUCGGAUCGAAAGCUCUGUUGUUAGGGAAGAACAAGUACCGUUCGAAUAGGGCGUACCUUGAGGUACCUAACCAGAAAGCCACGGCUAACUACGUGCCAGCAGCCGCGGUAAUAAAG
RNAcentral lists this ribosomal RNA (447 nucleotides) under Bacillus subtilis. Its description in RNAcentral is "bacterial SSU rRNA". It matches the Rfam family "Bacterial small subunit ribosomal RNA", at positions 91 to 528 of the family's 1533-position model. Lineage: Bacteria; Bacillati; Bacillota; Bacilli; Caryophanales; Bacillaceae. The record is from RNAcentral.